This 530-nucleotide ribosomal RNA is filed under the name uncultured fungus. Its description in RNAcentral is "eukaryotic LSU rRNA". The stretch from base 148 to 301 matches the Rfam family "5.8S ribosomal RNA". Lineage: Eukaryota; Fungi. The record is from RNAcentral.
CCCUUUGUGAACCUUACCUAUCGUUGCUUCGGCGGAUCCGCCCCGGCCGGCCCCUCGGGGCCUCCGGAACCAGGCGUCCGCCGGAGAACCCAAACUCUUUGUUUUACUUUGUUUUCUCCUCUGAGUGGAUUUAUACAAAUAAAUAAAAACUUUCAACAACGGAUCUCUUGGUUCUGGCAUCGAUGAAGAACGCAGCGAAAUGCGAUAAGUAAUGUGAAUUGCAGAAUUCAGUGAAUCAUCGAAUCUUUGAACGCACAUUGCGCCCGCCAGUAUUCUGGCGGGCAUGCCUGUUCGAGCGUCAUUUCAACCCUCAGGCCCCCAGUGCCUGGCGUUGGGGAUCGGCCGACGGCGGUUUUCGAACCUGCCUGGCCGGCCCCGAAAUCUAGUGGCGGUCUCGCUGUAGUCCUCCUCUGCGUAGUAGCACAACCUCGCAGUUGGAACGCGGCGGCGACCAUGCCGUUAAACACCCCACUUCUGAAAGUUGACCUCGGAUCAGGUAGGAAUACCCGCUGAACUUAAGCAUAUCAAUA